RNAcentral lists this ribosomal RNA (497 nucleotides) under uncultured bacterium. RNAcentral describes it as "partial 16S ribosomal RNA". It matches the Rfam family "Bacterial small subunit ribosomal RNA", at positions 28 to 507 of the family's 1533-position model. The record is from RNAcentral.
GAUGAACGCUGGCGGCGUGCCUAAUACAUGCAAGUAGAACGCUGAAGGAAGGAGCUUGCUCUUUCCGGAUGAGUUGCGAACGGGUGAGUAACGCGUAGGUAACCUGCCUGGUAGCGGGGGAUAACUAUUGGAAACGAUAGCUAAUACCGCAUAACAGUAGAUGUUGCAUGAUACCUAAUUAAAAGGUGGAAUUGCACCACUACCAGAUGGACCUGCGUUGUAUUAGCUAGGUGGUGAGGUAACGGCUCACCAAGGCGACGAUACAUAGCCGACCUGAGAGGGUGGUCCGCCACCCCGGGACCGAGACCCCGCCCCGAACCCCACGGGAGGCAGCCAGAGGGGAACUUUCGCCAUGGACCGAAGUCCUACCGAGCCACCCCGCGUGGGUGAAGGAGGUUCUCGGAUCGUUAAGCUCCGUUGUAAAAGAAGAAAGAGUGUGAUAGUGGAAAGUUCACACUGUGACGGUAUCUUACCAGAAAGGCACGGCUAACUACGUG